RNAcentral lists this ribosomal RNA (274 nucleotides) under uncultured bacterium. RNAcentral describes it as "partial 16S ribosomal RNA". It matches the Rfam family "Bacterial small subunit ribosomal RNA", at positions 523 to 796 of the family's 1533-position model. The record is from RNAcentral.
AUACGGAGGGUGCGAGCGUUAAUCGGAAUUACUGGGCGUAAAGCGUGCGUAGGCGGAUUAUUAAGCAAGAUGUGAAAGCCCAGGGCUCAACCUUGGAACUGCAUUUUGAACUGGUAGUCUAGAGUACUGUAGAGGGUGGUGGAAUUUCCAGUGUAGCGGUGAAAUGCGUAGAGGUUGGAAGGAACAUCAGUGGCGAAGGCGGCCACCUGGACAGAUACUGACGCUGAGGCACGAAAGCGUGGGGAGCGAACAGGAUUAGAAACCCUAGUAGUCC